Molecule: ribosomal RNA, 468 nt
Filed under: uncultured bacterium
Lineage: Bacteria
Description: partial 16S ribosomal RNA
Rfam family: Bacterial small subunit ribosomal RNA
Source: RNAcentral
GACGAACGCUGGCGGCGUGCUUAACACAUGCAAGUCGAACGGAAAGGCCCUGCUUUUGUGGGGUGCUCGAGUGGCGAACGGGUGAGUAACACGUGAGUAACCUGCCCUUGACUUUGGGAUAACUUCAGGCAACUGGGGCUAAUACCGGCUAGGAGCUCCUGCUGCAUGGUGGGGGUUGGAACGUUUCGGCGGUUGGGGAUGGACUCGCGGCUUAUCAGCUUGUUGGUGGGGUAGUGGCUUACCAAGGCUUUGACGGGUAGCCGGCCUGAGAGGGUGAACGGCGACAUUGGGACUGAGAGACGGACCAGACUGCUACGGGAGGCAGCAGUGGGGAAUAUUGCACAAUGGGCGGAAGCCUGAUGCAGCAACGCCGCGUGCGGGAUGACGGCCUUCGGGUUGUAAACCGCUUUCGGCUGUGACGAAGCGUGAGUGACGGUAAUGAGUAAAGAAGCACCGGCUAACUACGUG